Molecule: ribosomal RNA, 325 nt
Filed under: uncultured eukaryote
Lineage: Eukaryota
Description: partial 18S ribosomal RNA
Rfam family: Eukaryotic small subunit ribosomal RNA
Source: RNAcentral
CCCUUAGAUGUUCUGGGCCGCACACGCGCUACACUGAAGGAGGCAGCGUGUACUCCUGGAUCGAAAGAUUUGGGUAACCCGCGAAUCUCCUUCGUGCUAGGGAUUGAGGUUUGCAAUUAUCCUUCAUGAACGAGGAAUUCCCAGUAAGUGCAAGUCAUAAGCUUGCGCUGACUACGUCCCUGCCCUUUGUACACACCGCCCGUCGCUACUACCGAUUGAAUGGUCCGGUGAAAUCUUCGGAUCUGAGAGAUGUCUGAUUAAUUUCGGACGCCUUUUGGAAAAGUUGUUUAAACCUUACCAUUUAGAGGAAGGUGAAGUCGUAACA